RNAcentral lists this ribosomal RNA (395 nucleotides) under uncultured bacterium. Its description in RNAcentral is "partial 16S ribosomal RNA". It matches the Rfam family "Bacterial small subunit ribosomal RNA", at positions 338 to 730 of the family's 1533-position model. The record is from RNAcentral.
CCUACGGGAGGCAGCAGUGAGGAAUAUUGGUCAAUGGACGCAAGUCUGAACCAGCCAUGUCGCGUGCAGGAAGACGGCCCUAUGAGUUGUAAACCGCUUUUGUCGGAGGGCAAAUCCCGAUACGUGUAUCGGGUUGAGAGUACCCUACGAAUAAGCAUCGGCUAACUCCGUGCCAGCAGCCGCGGUAAUACGGAGGAUUCAAGCGUUAUCCGGAUUUAUUGGGUUUAAAGGGUGCGCAGGCGGUUCGUUAAGUUAGCGGUGAAAUCUCGGGGCUCAACCCCGGCACAGCCUCUGAUACUGGCGGGCUAGAGUGUGGGAGCGGUAGGCGGAAUGUAUGGUGUAGCGGUGAAAUGCAUAGAGAUCAUACAGAACACCGAUUGCGAAGGCAGCUUACC